This 1534-nucleotide ribosomal RNA is filed under the name Escherichia coli. RNAcentral's name for it is "bacterial SSU rRNA". It matches the Rfam family "Bacterial small subunit ribosomal RNA". Lineage: Bacteria; Pseudomonadati; Pseudomonadota; Gammaproteobacteria; Enterobacterales; Enterobacteriaceae. The record is from RNAcentral.
UUGAAGAGUUUGAUCAUGGCUCAGAUUGAACGCUGGCGGCAGGCCUAACACAUGCAAGUCGAACGGUAACAGGAAGCAGCUUGCUGCUUUGCUGACGAGUGGCGGACGGGUGAGUAAUGUCUGGGAAACUGCCCGAUGGAGGGGAUAACUACUGGAAACGGUAGCUAAUACCGCAUAACGUCGCAAGACCAAAGAGGGGGACCUUAGGGCCUCUUGCCAUCGGAUGUGCCCAGAUGGGAUUAGCUAGUAGGUGGGGUAAUGGCUCACCUAGGCGACGAUCCCUAGCUGGUCUGAGAGGAUGACCAGCCACACUGGAACUGAGACACGGUCCAGACUCCUACGGGAGGCAGCAGUGGGGAAUAUUGCACAAUGGGCGCAAGCCUGAUGCAGCCAUGCCGCGUGUAUGAAGAAGGCCUUCGGGUUGUAAAGUACUUUCAGCGGGGAGGAAGGGAGUAAAGUUAAUACCUUUGCUCAUUGACGUUACCCGCAGAAGAAGCACCGGCUAACUCCGUGCCAGCAGCCGCGGUAAUACGGAGGGUGCAAGCGUUAAUCGGAAUUACUGGGCGUAAAGCGCACGCAGGCGGUUUGUUAAGUCAGAUGUGAAAUCCCCGGGCUCAACCUGGGAACUGCAUCUGAUACUGGCAAGCUUGAGUCUCGUAGAGGGGGUAGAAUUCCAGGUGUAGCGGUGAAAUGCGUAGAGAUCUGGAGGAAUACCGGUGGCGAAGGCGGCCCCUGGACGAAGACUGACGCUCAGGUGCGAAAGCGUGGGGAGCAAACAGGAUUAGAUACCCUGGUAGUCCACGCCGUAAACGAUGUCGACUUGGAGGUUGUGCCCUUGAGGCGUGGCUUCCGGAGCUAACGCGUUAAGUCGACCGCCUGGGGAGUACGGCCGCAAGGUUAAAACUCAAAUGAAUUGACGGGGGCCCGCACAAGCGGUGGAGCAUGUGGUUUAAUUCGAUGCAACGCGAAGAACCUUACCUGGUCUUGACAUCCACGGAAGUUUUCAGAGAUGAGAAUGUGCCUUCGGGAACCGUGAGACAGGUGCUGCAUGGCUGUCGUCAGCUCGUGUUGUGAAAUGUUGGGUUAAGUCCCGCAACGAGCGCAACCCUUAUCCUUUGUUGCCAGCGGUCCGGCCGGGAACUCAAAGGAGACUGCCAGUGAUAAACUGGAGGAAGGUGGGGAUGACGUCAAGUCAUCAUGGCCCUUACGACCAGGGCUACACACGUGCUACAAUGGCGCAUACAAAGAGAAGCGACCUCGCGAGAGCAAGCGGACCUCAUAAAGUGCGUCGUAGUCCGGAUUGAGUCUGCAACUCGACUCCAUGAAGUCGGAAUCGCUAGUAAUCGUGGAUCAGAAUGCCACGGUGAAUACGUUCCCGGGCCUUGUACACACCGCCCGUCACACCAUGGGAGUGGGUUGCAAAAGAAGUAGGUAGCUUAACCUUCGGGAGGGCGCUUACCACUUUGUGAUUCAUGACUGGGGUGAAGUCGUAACAAGGUAACCGUAGGGGAACCUGCGGUUGGAUCACCUCCUU